This 594-nucleotide ribosomal RNA is filed under the name Triticum aestivum (bread wheat). RNAcentral describes it as "partial small subunit ribosomal RNA". Lineage: Eukaryota; Viridiplantae; Streptophyta; Magnoliopsida; Poales; Poaceae. The record is from RNAcentral.
AUGUGGGCACCUGAUAUCUAUGAGGGUUCACCCACCCCGGUGACAGCAUUCCUUUCUAUUGCGCCUAAAAUCUCUAUUUCUGCAAAUAUGUCACGUGUUUCUAUUGUUGCUUCCUAUGGGGGUACAUUACAACAAAUCUUCUUUUUCUGCAGCAUUGCUUCUAUGAUCUUAGGAGCACUGGCCGCCAUGGCCCAAACGAAAGUCAAAAGACCUCUAGCUCAUAGUUCGAUUGGACAUGUAGGUUAUAUUCGUACUGGUUUCUCAUGUGGAACCAUAGAAGGAAUUCAAUCACUACUAAUUGGUAUAUUUAUUUAUGCAUCAAUGACGAUAGAUGCAUUCGCCAUAGUUCCAGCAUUAUGGCAAACCCGUGUCAAAUAUAUAGCGGAUUUGGGCGCUCUAGCCAAAACGAAUCCUAUUUCGGCUAUGACCUUCUCCAUUACAAUGUUCUCAUACGCAGGAAUACCCCCGUUAGCCGGCUUUUGUAGAAAAUUCUAUUUGUUCUUCGCCGCUUUGGGUUGUGGGGCUUACUUCCUAGCCCCAGUGGGAGUAGUGACUAGCGUUAUAGGUCGUUGGGCGGCUGGAAGGUUGCCAUGA